AAUUCAAUAGAGGUCAUCAGUAGAUGCUAAAACCAUUAGGUGUAGGCAUUACAUACAUAUCUGGCCGCAAGGCCUGGGCAAUCAGCUGAGAAGCCAUCUCAGUGUGAGCCAGAGAGUCGUCAAGCAGCAGCGGCUGCUCUGGGUCUAACAGUAGUAGUAGAACCUCUGCUCCUACUCUGAGCCCUCUCCUGGGCUUGGUGUUGUAUCUCAUUCUCAACGCAACCAUGUCCCUUCCUCCUGGACAACGGUGCAGCAGUGGCAAGGAGAGACGAGGUCCCUUAGGGACACCAGAACAGAGAAUGCAGCAUCUGAUUUCCUCAGAUUGAUUUCCCUCUGUUUUUCUAGCUCCAUCCACUCCAGCCCAUGAAUCUUCUCCAAAAACGAGAGCAGAGCAUUCAGCAGCUAUGGGCCAUCAGUAAGGGCCAUUUAGCACUCACCCCUGCUCCAUUACAAGGCCUGUCCCAGUAGCCAGUGAAUAACUGCAUGAAGAGGCUCUCAGAUGCUGCCAACUGCCCAGGUGAGUUUGCCCUGGAAGUGAUAAACAUCUUACCAGGAAGAAACCAACAUUUAGAAUGCCUCAUAAAGAAAGAAUCCACUAAGCUGAAUAUAAGACAGAAUAAACAGGUUAAAAAAAAGAAAAAAAGAUUUACCUAUAAGGAGUAGGUACCUACAAAAAACAGGUCGUGUGACUUUAGCUCCUCCAGGAGGAAAGGCAGCUCCUGAAUCCAUGACUGUUAUAUAGGAAGAAAGGGAUACUCUUCUUUUUUUUUUCUCACCAAAUCCAUUAAGAGUUCCAAAGGUGGAUUAAUGGAGCUACAGAAUAGAAAUUUGGUAAUAGCCCACUGUCCUCACAAGAAAAAGACCUCCAUCCAUGUUGUGCAAGAAUCAGCUGACUCCCAUUACCACCCAUCCCAGUUAGGCCCUUCUUCUUCAAGAGGAGCCUAUAAACUGGCUCCUACAAUGUGACUGCAGCCCGGUCACAAGGCAGUCUGGAAGGUAAAUGUCUUGCAAAAAUAAUGCUGUAAAUUCCCUGAACUCAUACUCUUUGGCAGAAGGGAGAGAUCAUGGUGGGGAAACCAAAAACCAACUGGAAGAAAUGGAAGAGCUGACUUAGAGAAGGAAAUUGAAAUGUAGUUUGAGAGAGAGAAACUGAAAUAGAGCUCAAAUAUAAGCCAGCUAUUAGUGAGAAGAUUAGACUUAAGAGGAGAGUCCUGUAUGGACACUUGGUUUUCAAAACUUGGAAGACCAAGAAUAAACAGCUCAAACAGGCCAAUGACACUGUGGAGAGGGACUUAGCUGAUAAAGGGAAAGGAAUUCAAAAGCAUUUUGUGGACAUGGAUAUUCAAAACAAGAAGUUAUAAUCCUAAUUGUAGGACAUAAAGAUGACACAGGAUAACCCUCUGAGACAAGACAGUGCCUGGAUUUCAAGAUUUUCCAGAAAAGAAAACCUUAACUUCCAACACCUCCAAUGGCAAAAUGGAGAGCAUGUUGUCUCUGGAAAAGUAGUCACAGAGUAAGGGGACAACAGUGAGUUGACACGACAGAUGAUGUGACUAAUGGCUCUGAUUUGUUUGAUGAGAUUUUGAUGGUUACCACCACCGAGUUUGGUCCCCUUCUUUCCAUAGCCUCUCUCUCCAUCCCUGAAGCAAAGGGCCAAGAAGCCUCCACAUUGCAGUGACCCUGCGGCGUGAUGCCAGACGGGGCCACCAGAUCUUUGGGGUUCUUGGUGGAGUCGCUCAUCAUCCAGAACGUGUCCAAGUUCCGGGAGCACAGGUCAUCUGACAAGUCUGGUGCUGACGGGCAGAAACUCCCGGUGGGCCUUUGUAAGGAUGAGCCUUUUGUUGAACAGCAGGCAAAGCGACCUGGGCCCAGUUCCCAGAUCCUGUAGCGCAAGGAAGACUCGUUCCUGUGCCAACUCCAGCAGCACAACGCUGGCGUUUGCAGCCCAGAAGAAAGAAUCACGGAUGGCAUGGCGCCCAGCUCCGCCUGCGGGUCUGCUGUCCCAUGGCCAGACCCACAGGGACAGUCCCAAGCUGCGCCUUCCCACCCACGUGCAGGCCUGCUCCUCGGGGCCUGAGCAGACGCAGCAGGUCCGCGCGGUCUGCUGCUCGCGCUCCUUCUUGUGCAACUGAAAGCAACGAUCGUUGACAGUUCCAACCGUCCUUGCUCAGUGGCUGUUUUCAACUGGAAGAUCACAGUGCCCCAAGUCAAGGAAAGGCCCAAGUGAGGGACAGCAAUCGAGCUCCUGGCCCUACCACACCCAGGGCAUCUCCAACCCUUCUCCUGCUUGAGGCUAAGGAGGGAAAAAAAUGAGAGAAAUACUGAAGACAGAGAUCCUGGCAAAACAAUACCUACCACAAGGAAACAGGAAUGAAGAAGGAAAUUGAGAAUGCCGGACCUUCUAAAACCUUAAGCAUGGGCCUCAGGCCUACAGCAUCCCGUGGAAGUUUAGUAGGUUUGCACAAUUUCAGACCUCAUGCUGGACUGACCAAAUGAGAAUCUACAUAUUAACAGAUUCCUAGGUAAUUCAUUGACCACUAAAAUUUUAUGAGCGCUGAUCUACAAGAUACCUGACUGAAACUCUUCAAAAAUCAGUCUAAGGCCCAGAUGGGUUGGUGAAUUCUGCCAAACAUUCAAAGAAGAAAUUAUACCAAAUCUCUACAAUCUCUUUGAGAGGCUCCCUCUGUGUUUACCAAUACAGGUAAUACAAGGUACUUGGUUGUGCAGAGCAACAUGGUGAGGUGUGGUCUCAGCUCCAGCUCAGCCUCUAGGCUCUCUCCCCUUCACUCUCACCCUAGUCUUCCUGUUCACACACAUCCACUGAAUUCCUGGGCAAAGAUGAAGGCAGGGAGUAAAACGAUCAAGAAGUAUUUCAAAUCAAUAGUGUUCAACUUUAGCUUUUGAAAGCCUGGCUUCAAAUAAAUGUACAAUAAAUUCUUGAUCAUUCCUUCUCCCUUCAACGCUCCAUUCUGAAGGAUUUAGUGUUAAACCCAGCCUUAAAAGAGCUGAAAGGCACAGUCACCAACCUGCUUGAAAGAUAACCAAGUCGGAGGUCUCCGGGGCUUGGCCUCCAUCAGACGAGGACUGCGAGGAAGGAGAGGACUGAGGCAGUGUGGGAGAUAGAAACCAGAGGGAAGUCAAGGAUUACAAGAUAUUCCAAAUACCCAUCUGAGCAGAUUUCAAGUAUUCAGAACCAAGCAGACAACGUCCAGAAGACCUAGCUGGAGAUAUAAAGAGAGGUCUGGAGGGGAAUGUAUGGACACUAAUACCGUCUCGGAAAGAUUAAAUCCAGGAAGAAGAAAUCUAACAGAGAAAGAACACAACCAUAAAUAGUGGCUCAAAAAUUCACAGAUAUAAACUCUCAAAAAAGAAAUGUUUCAUAUAUAUAGAUUCUUUCAUUAAAGAAAAAGUAUCCAACAGAAAGUGUGACAAAGGCAUGAGGAUAAUCUUGGAAUUCCUUCCACCUGGCAUUGGACCUAGCAUCAAGGGAAGCUACGGAAGGCUUCAGCGCAAAGCUACUGCAGUGAGGCAGAAAUGGUUUACUAUUUAUUCCUAGUGAUUCACCUUGAUAGCAUUUUCUACAGGGAACGUGCUGGGCUAAUUGGAGGCACUCAGGAUCAACACUGGAACUCAGGUCUUUACAUACUGAGAGACUUACUGAAACAACAAGGGUGGAUUCCUCAGAAACGACCUUUCCAGUUCCACAUCCAUAAAGCUAAAGCUGUAGAUGUAGAAGAAUUUUUGAAUAGAGUUGAGAGAAUGUCUUUUUUAACUGAACAACUAUUAGCACUUACAAAUUCAUGGAAAAAGAACUUUUAUACACACACACAUACAUAUGCAUACAUGUAUACAUGCUCACAUAUGUAUAUGAGUAUAUAUGUAUACAUAUACAUUCGCAUACAUAUAUACAUAUCCAGAUAUAUCCCUUAAAGCAUAGCUUUGUGUUCAUAUCUAUCUAUGGACUCCACUGGUUAAUUUAAUAUUUAUUUAAUUUUUAAUUCACUUCAAGCUCUCUACUAAAAUUUAAGAACACAUUGGUAAUUGAAAUAGUAAUUGUCCCUCCUUUCAUGGAGUUUAUAUUCUACUGAAAGAGAGAAAAAUUUAAAAAUAAUCCUACAUACAUAUACUUUUGCUGUGUUUGUUGUGUUAUCACAGAAAAGUAAGGGUCAGGAGAAUCGGACUUAAAUUAAAACUUUACGGACUUUUUCACAAAGGAAAUUAUGUUUAAAAGUGAGCUCUGAAGAAGGUAGACUCAGACUUAAAGGACUUCCUGGUGGUUUCAAGUAGGUGCCCAGUGGCUGUAUGUAUAUGGCUAGAUGUUAAUUACCACCUAGGAAGCUAGUGUUGACCAGCUUCUAGCAAUAGGAAAAUGUGUGGAGGGCUAGAAGCUAUGAGAAAUAGAUAACAAAUACUCUGGAGAGCAAAACUAUAAGAUAUUUUUGACAAGCUAAGUAACAAAGUAUUAGUAUUUAGUAAUUAGUAAUAAAGUAUUUAGAACAUGAAAAAGUUUAACAGGGAUAAAGGUAAUGUUUUGCAUAUGAGUUCAAAAUAAAUUUACAGUAGCAAAGAUGGGUUUAGAAAUCCCAUGGGGUAUGAAGACAGAGGUUUGGUCAACAUCAGUAGUGCCAUGUGACUCCAAAGAAAAUGAGAAAGGAGAGAAAGGAAGAAAAAGAAAGAGAAAAAGCAAACCACACAAAACUGAAUUAAUAAGGCAGGCAAUAAUUAUUAUUAUUAUUAUCAAGAAUCAAGAAUCAAUGCUAAGCCAUUUAGAAAGAUUCAGGGCAAUUUUGUUGUGUUUUGUUUAAAUCUUAGUUCAUAAAGUUCUGAUUAUAAUGGAGAAUAGAAAGUAAUGUGUCCAUGAACCUCACUACACCUUGGUUUCCUCACACUAUGUAAUGAGAAUAACAGUAUAUCUCACAUAACAGUUUAAGUACGUUAAGUAAAGUGAGUGAGCUACUGUAUAUAUGUAUCUUCAGCACAGUAUCUGGCACAUGAAAAUAUCUAACUACAUUACAAGUAUUUCUGUAACUCUUUACAUGUACUAGCUCACUGAUUCUCACAAAAAUCUAUGGAAUAGGUAUUAUGAUCAUCUACCUUUUAUAUAUGAGAAAGCCAAAGCAUAACGAGAUUAAGUAGCUUGUCAAAUCACACAGCAAGGAAGUAGUAUUGCCUAGGUGGACUACGUGGUCUAAUUUUAGAGUUUUUAUUUCAAAUCUCUACUCUUUAUUGCCUCUUGUAGUAAUCACUCAACAUAUACCUUUCUAUAAUAAAUAUGAAUUCUGUAAAUUGCAAUUUUUAUAAUAGUCUUUAAUAUAAAUUUAAUCAUAUGUAUUAUUGUUUUAAUGAUUUCUCAGAACAUAUGUCAGCAAGCUGCAUAUGUAACAUAAUAUGAAUUAAUUUUCUCUUUGAAAAUACUUGUAAGAAUUUUGCAAGUCAUAGUAGCUUUGCAGUUGAAAGUCUCCUUAUGAGUUUUGCAAAGUAAAGAAUUAAUCCUAAUUAUCUAGUUGCAAUAUUUUUAGCAACAAGACAGUAUCUUCAUCCUCCAGGAUUAGUAAUUUCAAUAACAUCACAAAGCCUGAUGCUUAACAGAUGAAUAUUCUCUAAAUAAUUAUAUUUCCACUCAAAGUAUUUCUUUGCAUAAUUUGGUCUUGGCUCCAAAGUGAACAUAUGUUUUCAGAUAGGUGUUAUCACCUAAGAUUUUAGUCUUACAGAGUUUUCGGGAUAGUCCAGGCAGAACUCACCACAGGGCAAAGUGCAGUGUGGUGAUGGAACAGCCCCACAGCCUGAGGAACUGAGGAUUUGGAACUGAAGAGAUUUAGAUGAAACACCAUGUGAAACCCAUACUCUAGUUCAGUUUUCCUGCUUAGUAAUAUUAGUGAAACAAUUCACUAUAGAAGGAUUUUUCUUUUAAUCAGAUAUCCAUAUUCACCUGUAGAUACCUUCACAUGUGUGGAAGCCAAGUGGCCAAGAUAACAGUGAUAUUAGAAUUCCAGAUAAACAAGCAGCCCGGUUUCACUCAUUACAUUUGCCACUGUUUCAAAGAGGGCACUGUAUAUUUCCAUUUUCACUUUGCUAAUAGCAUGCAGUUGAACCUGUCUAGUAAAGAGGCUUACUCUGGGAUUUUGAGACCAAGGUUUAUACUCUGUUUAUGUCAUCUGGCUAAAAGACACAGGCAAGUUAACCUCUCUAAACCUCAGUUAUUUCAUCUGUAAAAUGAGUUAAUAAUAGCAUCCACCCAUGUCAAUAUUAUCAGGAUUCAACAAGAUAAUAUAUGUAAGAACUUGGCCCCCAGUCCUGAUUUAAAAUGUGUCGAAGUAUACCUAUAAUUAAUUUUAGAAAUAAUGCCUUAAGUUUAAUAGAGCCAAUCAUAAUUAGUUAUAUGUUAAUUUAGCAUUGCCUAUGAUUGAAGAGAUAUUAACAAAUCAUAAUUUUAUUUAUCUUUCAAAAUUAAUUGUACCCUCACCGCUAGGAAUUCAUAAAAUACACAAACUUAUACAUGAACAGAAAUGCUUAUCGCAUCAGCUUAGUAUAGUGUGAUUUUUUUUUGGUUUCUAAAUAUUAUAAAUUGAUGCUUGUUUUGAGGAAAUGAAUUUCUAUGAAUUUGUGAAGCAAAUUUCAGAAUGCAUUAAUUCUAGAAACGUUACUGCUAAUUAGGCUGUAUUGACAUUAUCUAUUUGUAUUCCCUGGUGAGAAAGGAGGAUUCUUCAAUUUCUGUGUUGUUUGCAUCCUUUUUAAGCAGAUGAAGAAUAAAAAACGAAAUGUUACAGACCAAGGGAACAGCAGGGCCAGGUGAUUUGGGGUAAAAUAAAACACACGAGAGUCAAAGAAGUUGCACUGGAGCAUAGAGUUCAUGAAAGAGAGGAACAAGAGGUGGGGCUGGACAUAAAGGUCAAGUGUAGAAACAGCAAUACUGGAAGCCAAAUUGAAGUAUUUUGAUUUUACCUAAGGUCACUAGGAAACCAGUAAGAGGUUUUAAAUUAGGACUUGACAUAAUUAGAUCUCCGUUUUGAAAUUUUUUUGUGGUUCAGGAAUAGAUGAGAGGAAAAUAAUACUAUAAGUGAAGAGUAAAAGUGAGCUGGUUUGGGGAUGCAGUGGCAAGAAUAAGACCAUAAUUGAUUGAAGUGGAGGCUGGUCACUCUCAAGUUUCUGCUCUGGGUAAUCCAUAGUAAUAUGUACUGGAAUAGGAAACAUCUGAAGAGAGGAUGGUUUGGGGAAACAAAAAUGAGUUCAACUUCAGAGUUAAGAUCUCUGUGAGUGAUAGACAGGCUUGACAGGUUGAAGAAAUAAGCAAAGCCUGAAAUAUCAGUAGCUUAACCCAUAAACAUUGUCAACAACUGUCAAGCGUCUGAGAUUUUACCCUAUUUUCAAACUAACCAGUUAGGAGGUCACAGGUACAUACAAGGACAAUUAUUUCUGUGUCAGAAACAAAGGACAUUAGUGCUCACAGCACAGCAGGCACAUGAGCUUCAGGUUCACAUGGGUUCUCUUUGCCCACAAGGGCACACGUGCAUGCUGUGGAUGCAAUGGGUUCAUGUCACAGCUGAGGAACCCUCAGUUUAGGAAAGCGCUCAUCUUUCAAAGAAGACCACUAACCCCAACUAACCCUCCCUGCAGAGGCAGUUAUUAUCUUUACUGUGUUGGUCAGUAAACAAAUCUGCCCUCUGCCCAUGGGGAGAGACUACUGCCGUCUUCCAAGGCUGUUUGCUAUACAAACAUCCAUGAAAAGACAGAACAGAGCAAAAACUGUCACAAGACAUGUGGAACUAUCAUAGAAAAAUUUUCCCCAAUAAAAGCUUAUUUUUCUUUCACACAAAGUCCCAUAUUUGUACAUCCUCUCUUCAGAGCAUCUCUCUUUCGAUCAGUGAUUAAUGUAUCCAGUCUACUUCCUUCUUGUUGUUAUAACAUCUUUAAAUAAGAGAGACUAAAGAAAGCUUUUUGAUGCCUAUACCAAAGAACAAUGGAAAAUAUGAAUGAUUUGGUUGUUUUAUUCAUAUUCUUUGUUGAUUCCUGGUGGGAAGUUAUAAGUGGGAGGAAGAAAUCAUAAUGUACCUGCUCACCUUAGAAUCAGAAAUAUCAAAAAAGCGCACAAGGUAAAAAGUCUAAAUUGUGACACUUUUCUAGGCAUAGAGCACUGGAGAAAAGGUGGGAAUCCCCUUCGACAAUGC
Equus caballus (horse) is the source of this 8165-nucleotide long non-coding RNA. Lineage: Eukaryota; Metazoa; Chordata; Mammalia; Perissodactyla; Equidae. The record is from Ensembl.